This 2755-nucleotide ribosomal RNA is filed under the name Klebsiella quasipneumoniae subsp. similipneumoniae. Its description in RNAcentral is "bacterial LSU rRNA". It matches the Rfam family "Bacterial large subunit ribosomal RNA". The record is from RNAcentral. Lineage: Bacteria; Pseudomonadati; Pseudomonadota; Gammaproteobacteria; Enterobacterales; Enterobacteriaceae.
ACUAUCGUUAACUGAAUACAUAGGUUAACGAGGCGAACCGGGGGAACUGAAACAUCUAAGUACCCCGAGGAAAAGAAAUCAACCGAGAUUCCCCCAGUAGCGGCGAGCGAACGGGGAGCAGCCCAGAGUCUGAAUCAGCUUGUGUGUUAGUGGAACGGUCUGGAAAGUCCGACGGUACAGGGUGAUAGUCCCGUACACCAAAAUGCACAGGCUGUGAACUCGAAGAGUAGGGCGGGACACGUGGUAUCCUGUCUGAAUAUGGGGGGACCAUCCUCCAAGGCUAAAUACUCCUGACUGACCGAUAGUGAACCAGUACCGUGAGGGAAAGGCGAAAAGAACCCCGGCGAGGGGAGUGAAAAAGAACCUGAAACCGUGUACGUACAAGCAGUGGGAGCACCUUUAGGUGUGACUGCGUACCUUUUGUAUAAUGGGUCAGCGACUUAUAUUCUGUAGCAAGGUUAACCGUAUAGGGGAGCCGCAGGGAAACCGAGUCUUAACUGGGCGUUAAGUUGCAGGGUAUAGACCCGAAACCCGGUGAUCUAGCCAUGGGCAGGUUGAAGGUUGGGUAACACUAACUGGAGGACCGAACCGACUAAUGUUGAAAAAUUAGCGGAUGACUUGUGGCUGGGGGUGAAAGGCCAAUCAAACCGGGAGAUAGCUGGUUCUCCCCGAAAGCUAUUUAGGUAGCGCCUCGUGAACUCAUCUUCGGGGGUAGAGCACUGUUUCGGCUAGGGGGUCAUCCCGACUUACCAACCCGAUGCAAACUACGAAUACCGAAGAAUGUUAUCACGGGAGACACACGGCGGGUGCUAACGUCCGUCGUGAAGAGGGAAACAACCCAGACCGCCAGCUAAGGUCCCAAAGUCAUGGUUAAGUGGGAAACGAUGUGGGAAGGCACAGACAGCCAGGAUGUUGGCUUAGAAGCAGCCAUCAUUUAAAGAAAGCGUAAUAGCUCACUGGUCGAGUCGGCCUGCGCGGAAGAUGUAACGGGGCUAAACCAUGCACCGAAGCUGCGGCAGCGACACUAUGUGUUGUUGGGUAGGGGAGCGUUCUGUAAGCCUGCGAAGGUGACCUGUGAGGGUUGCUGGAGGUAUCAGAAGUGCGAAUGCUGACAUAAGUAACGAUAAAGCGGGUGAAAAGCCCGCUCGCCGGAAGACCAAGGGUUCCUGUCCAACGUUAAUCGGGGCAGGGUGAGUCGACCCCUAAGGCGAGGCCGAAAGGCGUAGUCGAUGGGAAACAGGUUAAUAUUCCUGUACUUGGUGUUACUGCGAAGGGGGGACGGAGAAGGCUAUGUUAGCCGGGCGACGGUUGUCCCGGUUUAAGCAUGUAGGCUGGUUAUCCAGGCAAAUCCGGAUAAUCAAGGCUGAGGUGUGAUGACGAGGCACUACGGUGCUGAAGUAACAAAUGCCCUGCUUCCAGGAAAAGCCUCUAAGCAUCAGGUAACAUCAAAUCGUACCCCAAACCGACACAGGUGGUCAGGUAGAGAAUACCAAGGCGCUUGAGAGAACUCGGGUGAAGGAACUAGGCAAAAUGGUGCCGUAACUUCGGGAGAAGGCACGCUGGUGUGUAGGUGAAGCCCCUGCGGGUGGAGCUGAGACCAGUCGAAGAUACCAGCUGGCUGCAACUGUUUAUUAAAAACACAGCACUGUGCAAACACGAAAGUGGACGUAUACGGUGUGACGCCUGCCCGGUGCCGGAAGGUUAAUUGAUGGGGUUAUCCGUAAGGAGAAGCUCUUGAUCGAAGCCCCGGUAAACGGCGGCCGUAACUAUAACGGUCCUAAGGUAGCGAAAUUCCUUGUCGGGUAAGUUCCGACCUGCACGAAUGGCGUAAUGAUGGCCAGGCUGUCUCCACCCGAGACUCAGUGAAAUUGAACUCGCUGUGAAGAUGCAGUGUACCCGCGGCAAGACGGAAAGACCCCGUGAACCUUUACUAUAGCUUGACACUGAACAUUGAGCCUUGAUGUGUAGGAUAGGUGGGAGGCUUUGAAGCGUGGACGCCAGUCUGCGUGGAGCCAACCUUGAAAUACCACCCUUUAAUGUUUGAUGUUCUAACGUUGGCCCCUUAUCGGGGUUGCGGACAGUGUCUGGUGGGUAGUUUGACUGGGGCGGUCUCCUCCCAAAGCGUAACGGAGGAGCACGAAGGUUAGCUAAUCCUGGUCGGACAUCAGGAGGUUAGUGCAAUGGCAUAAGCUAGCUUGACUGCGAGCGUGACGGCGCGAGCAGGUGCGAAAGCAGGUCAUAGUGAUCCGGUGGUUCUGAAUGGAAGGGCCAUCGCUCAACGGAUAAAAGGUACUCCGGGGAUAACAGGCUGAUACCGCCCAAGAGUUCAUAUCGACGGCGGUGUUUGGCACCUCGAUGUCGGCUCAUCACAUCCUGGGGCUGAAGUAGGUCCCAAGGGUAUGGCUGUUCGCCAUUUAAAGUGGUACGCGAGCUGGGUUUAGAACGUCGUGAGACAGUUCGGUCCCUAUCUGCCGUGGGCGCUGGAGAAUUGAGGGGGGCUGCUCCUAGUACGAGAGGACCGGAGUGGACGCAUCACUGGUGUUCGGGUUGUCAUGCCAAUGGCACUGCCCGGUAGCUAAAUGCGGAAGAGAUAAGUGCUGAAAGCAUCUAAGCACGAAACUUGCCCCGAGAUGAGUUCUCCCUGAGACUUUAAGUCUCCUGAAGGAACGUUAAAGACGAUGACGUUGAUAGGCCGGGUGUGUAAGCGCAGCGAUGCGUUGAGCUAACCGGUACUAAUGAACCGUGAGGCUUAACC